CUGAUAUUGUGUAGGAUUCAAGGUCUGCAUGAAUUCUCCAACAUUUCCCUGUGUUUGAUCUAAAAUAGAUAUAGAAACUUGAUUAGCAACAACAUAAUUUGAUUGAUUGUUACCAUUUGAUUGGCUGCUAAUGCAGAUUUCUGCUUAAUCUUAUAUCCAGGAGGAUAACUGUGCAAUUUCUAGCACUUGUCCACAGCAUGGCCUGCGUAACCACAAUAUGUGCAAUAGGUCUUUCCUCCUUUUGAAAUUAUUAUGCAACUAUCCUACAUUGGUUUUUUUGAGAUCAUUUUUGGUGUAGAAAGCCAUGGAAUCAGCAAAACCAGAACGAGAAACAUAGGCAUCGAUAUUAACAUUCCUUUGAUGUUCUUCUUGAGAGACAAGAUAGAAAACAUUGUUUAUUGGAGGCACAGGAUCCAUUCAAAAUAACUGCCCCUGACUUGGGAAAAUGAAUCAUUUAACCAGAAAUGACAUAACAUACUCCAUGUGAUAGUGUUCGGCAAGUUUUUUGGUUCCUCCACAGUUUCACCAUCCACGAGCAUAUAGGCCUGUAAUUACUUAGUUCUUCCAAGAUCAUCUUCAAUUUGGUGAAAUAUGUCCUAACAAAGCAUUGUCCUUUUGUGUGAUUCAAUAAUGCAU
This 636-nucleotide long non-coding RNA is filed under the name Olea europaea (common olive). RNAcentral's name for it is "long non-coding RNA (OEUR_LNC006711)". Lineage: Eukaryota; Viridiplantae; Streptophyta; Magnoliopsida; Lamiales; Oleaceae. The record is from RNAcentral.